CAACCCUCAAGCCUGGCUUGGUGUUGGGGCACUGCUUUUUCCGAAGAGCAGGCCCUGAAAUAUAGUGGCGAGCUCGCCAGGACUCCGAGCGUAGUAGUUAAACCCUCGCUCUGGAAGGCCUGGCGGUGCCCUGCCGUUAAACCCCAACUCUUGAAA
This 156-nucleotide unclassified non-coding RNA is filed under the name uncultured Phomopsis. RNAcentral's name for it is "sequence contains ITS2". Lineage: Eukaryota; Fungi; Ascomycota; Sordariomycetes; Diaporthales; Cytosporaceae. The record is from RNAcentral.